Mus musculus (house mouse) is the source of this 4251-nucleotide long non-coding RNA. RefSeq annotates it as predicted gene, 32124. The transcript is spliced from 10 exons. NCBI's taxonomy places the organism in Eukaryota, Metazoa, Chordata, Mammalia, Rodentia, Muridae. The record is from RefSeq and is a predicted model, not a curated record.
UGGACUUACUUUGUAGCCCAGGAAUCACUCUGUAGUCCGGGCUGGCCUAGACUUUGUAGCCUAGGCUAGCCUAAAUCUCAUUCUAUACCCCAGGCUGGCCUGGAACUCAUACUGUCUAUUCAGUCAGCUCCACCAGGGUCAGACAAGCACUCAGGUCCUCUGGUUUUGUAAACUCUUCUCAUUCAUGAGCCUUCUUUCACCUUCACCCUGAGAUGUCCUUGGGUCUUUCCCAGCAUUCCCAGGUGGCCUUGCUUUCGUCAUUACUGUUCCUUCAAGUUGGUGCAGUGUUGAAACUGUCUCCUGACCAGUGUGGUCUUGGAGUGGCAGCUAUUCUUUUUUCUUUUCUAUCCUUUCUUCUUGGAGGCCACAGGCCGUGAUGUCCCCUCAGUGUCAUCUUCACAGGGAUCAUAUGACAAUGCACGGUAACUGAUCCUGGUCAGAGGCACAUGGGGCCCAGCUGGGGGACCCUCACUCCCAAGGUGACCAUUAAAGUACAGGACAGAAACAAGGGCAGUGAGCGCUGUGACCACGGCAGAGUUUAGCCAAUGACAGGGAAUUUGUGAAGAUUGGUUCUGCAUCUUGACACAUCAGGACUCCCUAUGGCUCCUUGGUGGGAGGGGACAUUAGAAAGGUCAGUUCCAGCAACUCAGGGAGGGGACAAGGCCUCUGGAGAAGAGCCACCUUCUUAGGGACCCGCAGUGUCACGGCAGGCUGGCUUUUCUUCUGACACACCUGUUUCCUUUCCCCUGAUUUCUAGCAGGGGAUGUCUAUUGCCCGUCACAUCUGGAAGCAACAGAAGGCGGCUACAAUCUAACUUCCCAGAGCUCUCAGGAUGAAAGGAGGGUAUGAGGGAGAGGCUGAAGAUGUGUUAGCCCCGCAGUCGCUGAAGUUCACCUGGCGCUAUCAGUGUGGAAAGAACAACCUGCCUGUGGCCCAGGAAGGCGUGCUACUGGUGUACACAGCGAACAAAACAAAACAAAAUAAGGACUUGCACUCUGUGUGCAGACAGAGAUGGGGGAGGGCAGGGAUAAGGUGGGGAGUGCUGUCUAUCUCUAAAGGCUUCUCCCAGGAAGUGUGUUGUUAGCUGGACAUCAAGGUGGAGCUGCUGCAGGCUGACAGAGGAGCUUGUGGGCAGGCAGGGUGGGUGGGAGACUGACUAUAUACAUCUCCAUCUGGAGGACAAGGCAGAGAGGAGGUGUGACUACAGAGGGUGGUGAUCAGGGAAGGGGGAUGGGACCAGCUCCUGGGCAGAGAGCUCGGAGCUGGGACUGUAUUCUGUUUGACUAUCUGCAGUAGGCAAAAGGUACAGCCAAAUGCCACUCAACACUAGCUGCGGGGAGCACAAGGUGGUGUUCUUGCUGGUGUGAGAUGAGGUGCGGUUGGAGCUCACACAGGAACAACAGCCUUUGCAAGAAGUGAAUGUGCUCUUAACCUCUGAGCCAUUUCUCCAGCCCACGCCUGCUUCCUCUAGGAUAUCUCUGGCCCGACAUUUUUUAACGUUGUAAAGACCCAGGAGAAGUGUCAGAUGAAAUGCUGUUUGGAGACAAUGGGAACAGAGGCAGGAAAAUCUCUAUGAGUUUAAGUCCAGCACAGUCUACAUAAUGAGUUCCAGGACAUUCAGAGCUACAUAGCAAGAAUCUGUCUCAAAAGAAAAUUAUUUUUUCCCAAUGAGAUGCUACUGGUGUACACAUGAACCCUGAAGGGAAGAAACAUGGAGUAGGGUCACAAGGAGACAAUUGCUGGGGGUAAAGGCAAAGCCUUGGAGUGACAACAACUUAUGGGUAUUGAUUUUGUGUAUGCAUCUGGUAAGGCGUGCAGGUGGAGGUCAAAGGGUCAUUUGUGAGAAUCAGUUCUCUCCUUCUGCCAAAUGUAUCCUGGGGGUUGAGCUCGUGACACCAGUAUUGGUGCCAUGAUAGCGGCAGUUACAGUCCCUAUGCUGCCCCCAACAAGGUGGGUUCAGAGCACCAGGACCUAUCAGCCAUGAACUGGACCUUAUAAAACGUCAAUUGAGGAGCUUCUCCAAAAGUGGAAGUCCAGAUCCAGGCCAUUCAUGAUGUGAGGCCUUUGGCCGAUGCCUUUAAAACGGAGAACUCACUUCAGAACACAACAGUUUAGAAGCCAGGAAGAUGCAUGAGCCUUCUGCAGCUCACCAAAGCCUGUCUGCAGGUGAAUUCCCAACAGUGGACUUGGGUUCCAGGAGUGUGCUUCUAUGGAGGACGCCCAUGAGUUCCCUUAGGUCUGAGAAGCUAGCGACGGGGAACUGUUUCAAGGCCCACAGAACAGGACGCCUGCCGCAGAGAGUGAAACACGGGCGUAAACCUAAACUACGAAAGAAAUUGAAGGAAGCUGGAGAGCUCAAAACUGGACCUCCCUGGGUGCUCUUCAAAGAGCAUGCGAUUUUAGUUCUUUUGCUAUGAUCUGCAGCACCUGAGUGAUCUCAUACUAUGGCUGUGUAGGAUGUGGGGACACAGAGAAAAUCCCAUUGACAAAAUUAACCCCAAAUUUGGGGACAGAAACAGUCACAAAUUUGCCUUCUCUGUUAUACGUUCUCCUCCCCUUCCCCCCUCUCCCUUGUUCCCUUCCCCAAGAGCACAAAUCUGUAGACCUGUUUGCCAGGGCUGCUGAGUGUGGUUUAGCAACCAAGGGAACAGAAGGAAGAAGGUAAGAAGGCUGGUGGGAGCUAGAGGGGGAGGGUAUCGUUCUCCCAGUGGGCACAAGGCAUUGGUGCAGUCUUUCCCCCAUAACGGAGGAGGCCCUGGGUGCAUUGUUUUAUUGUGGUUAGUUAUAGCUCACCUCUGUUGGAGCCAGGGCAAGGACAGGGCACAGUGAGAGCAUGGUGGGGCUCCUCCAUGUAAAGUGUACCAAGGUGUGGUGGAUUGAAUGUGCUUGACCCAGGGAGUGGCUAUUAGGAGGUGUGGCCUUGUUGGAGUAGGUGUGUCACUGUGGGGGUGGAGACCCUGUUCCUAACCACAGGAGAGCCAGUCUUCUCCUGUUUGCAGUUGGAUCAAGAUGUAGAACUCUCAGCUCCUCCAUCGCCCUGCCUGCCUGGAUGCUGCCAUGCUUCUUGCCAUGACGACUAUGGAUUGAACCCCAGAACUUAUAAGCUAGCCCCAGUUUACUGACAUCCUUUGUAAGAGUUGCCUUGCUCAUGUGUCUGUUCACAGAUAUGGAAAUCCUUACUGAGACACAAGGUGAGGGUGGAUAAACCACUCCCCUGCUAAUUCCCACAUGGCCUCCAGUUAUGUACCAGUCACUGUGUGAUGGCUUUCUAUAAAUGUGUAGGUCCAGUGUCCUCCAGCUCAGGGAAGGACUCACCAACGGUGACUCUGGAUGCUGCAGAGUCUGUGCAGUUUGUCCUGAUGGUUUCCCUAGAGACGACGUCUCUCACUAUGCUCAGAAAACUCAUGGCACCAUAUCUUAGCUUAGUUUUUCUUUUAAAAAUUUUUAAGCUUGGUAUUUCUUUUAAUGUUUUUAAGCUUAGUUUUUCUUUUAAAAGACAAUUUAAAGCUCUUUCUUAUUUUAAGGAGUGGCGUGAUUACGUUUUAGCUUUCUCAGCAUCAACCGAAGCCAGAAAUCCACUUGGAAUUAUUUUUUUGUACUAUGGAUUUCUUCCUGAUUGUAAUUACAAAUUUAAAAAGCUUUACAAAUGUAUAACAGUAUAAACUUUUCCUUACAUUUCACUCAAUUUUUGUAGAGAUUGAUCUUAUUUUAAGUUGUGUGGUUGCCUGUGUGGUUGUAGGCACAUGUGAGUGAAGUACCUGUGGAGGGCAGAAGAGGGCGUUGGAUUUCCUGGAACUGAAGAUCAGGUGGCCAUUGUGAGUGUCAGGAGAUGAGGUCAUGACCUCUGCUAGGUCAGGAGGCUCUCUUAACCAACCAACCAUCUCUCGGGUUCUUGGGCGUUUUGAUUGUCCAUACACACCACCUGGGAUUUAGCAUGAUGUUUGUAUUCCUUGGCAUUUCUAUAAAGAAGAUACUAGGUAUAUAAUCUUGAGACAGAUUCUUACCCUAUCUGCACUCCAGAUUCCUUGUUGAAAAUGCAGAGAUAAUCACGAAGAUCAGCAGAGUGAACACACAUGCGCACAGGGUUCUCAGCGUUAAGUUUUUAAAGAGCCUCAAGUAGACAAGAACAGCUUUGACCUUGAUUGGUCACCUAAGAUGAACUUGAACUUCUGAUUCCCCCUGCUUUCAUCUGGGGUCACAGGAAGGAAAAAAAUCAACAGCGGGUGUAAUAAAUCCCUUUCGCUAAUGAGA